This 464-nucleotide ribosomal RNA is filed under the name uncultured bacterium. RNAcentral's name for it is "partial 16S ribosomal RNA". It matches the Rfam family "Bacterial small subunit ribosomal RNA", at positions 338 to 795 of the family's 1533-position model. The record is from RNAcentral.
CCUACGUGUGGCAGCAGUGGGGAAUCUUCCGCAAUGGGCGAAAGCCUGACGGAGCAACGCCGCGUGAUCGAAUGAAGGCCUUCGGGUUGUAAAGAUCUGUUGACAGGGACGAAUAAGCAAUGCGAAUAGUUUUGUGUAUGACGGUACCUGUUUAGAAAGCUCCGGCUAACUACGUGCCAGCAGCCGCGGUAAUACGUAGGGAGCAAGCGUUGUACGGAAUUACUGGGCGUAAAGGGCGAGUAGGUGGGAAGCCAAGUCAGCUGUGAAAACUACGGGCUUAACUUGUAGACUGCAGUUGAAACUGGUUUUCUUGAGUGAAGUAGAGGUUGGCGGAAUUCCGAGUGUAGCGGUGAAAUGCGUAGAUAUUCGGAGGAACACCGGUGGCGAAGGCGACCAACUGGGCUUUAACUGACGCUGAGGAGCGAAAGCGUGGGUAGCAAACAGGAUUAGAUACCCCUGUAGUC